UGUUUUGUUGUCUGUGAGUAGGUUGCUCGAUUUUUUCCUGCAAUUCAAUCUGAGAUUCGAGGCCUAAGCUUGUUGCAUAGGCUGAUAAAGAGUGGGGAUGAUAUGAUUAGAUCAAAAACAUUGGAAUAUGUGUAGAACGACAAUGGGCGCUGUGAAAGGGAAAGAAGGGUCUAAGAACCUAUAACUUCUUGUUUUUUGGCCGGCGAAAGCU
This 211-nucleotide long non-coding RNA is filed under the name Eucalyptus grandis. RNAcentral's name for it is "long non-coding RNA (EGRA_LNC002683)". The record is from RNAcentral. Lineage: Eukaryota; Viridiplantae; Streptophyta; Magnoliopsida; Myrtales; Myrtaceae.